CUAAUUAUCCUGGCUUCCUCCCUCUUCCCUCCCAGUCCAGGGUUGACAUGUCAACUGUUUAUUCAUUUUAAUAGAUGCUGUCUGAUCUGCUGAAUUCUUUCAGCAUUUUGUGUGUGUUGUUCUUCACAAAAUAGUUCCUUUUCCAGUUUUCCAAAUCUUUCACAAGAACGUCUUGCUCCUUAAUUUAAGUGAAUGAAAAUCAUUCUUCAAAAUUGUAUACUGUACUUCUGUACAACAGUAAUUGAUUUUCCUACUUGUUCGGUGAUUAGAGAGGAAACUGAUAUACACUUUACAAGAACUUAAUUGAGUACAAUUGUACAUGUAUACAUGUCACAAAUUAUUUCCAAUUGCAAAAGAGGACAGUAGUGUUUAAUACUUCCAAGACCAUUCGCCACUACAAUAAGUUCUCGAUUCCUUUAAAUUAGCUCCCUGUAUAGCUAUUUUUACAGCAACUUGGUCAUCAGUUCUUCCAAAAAAAAUUGACACCAAUUUAGUACCAAUUAAUAGUCUAACUAACAGAAUCCACCUGAUUCACUAACACCCUUCAGGGAAGAAAAUCUAUCUGCCUUUCUACAUCGGGUGUAUAUGCAACUCCAAAUCCAUCAAUGUGAUGAGUGGUCCUUACUGUCUGCAUCAUCUCAAAGAAGGUUCUUGUUGAGAACCACUCUGGGAUGAAAAUAAUGAAUUUUUUUUGCUUCUAUAGUCAUUCGUGUGCAUUUCCAAUUUGCACUACUUUCUGAUGCGCUGGUUACUCUUCAUAGUCGUGGAAAGAUGGCCCUUACAUAAGAACAUGAGAAAUACUCUAUAUUCUUGAGUAUAAGCCGACCUCCCAUUUUCAAGGUUAAAAAAGUGACUUUUUCAUGUUACCUUUGUAUAAGCCGACCCCUUUUGUAGAGGUUUUUGAUUUAGCCAGGAAAGAUCACAAGAUCUCACAUGCCGGUACUCAGCUUUGCCGGAUCCGGAACUGGGAAAUUUUGUGAGUCAGUAUUUGCUAAGAAAACAGGCCUACACAUUGCAUUAUAAGCAAAUUCUUAAUAAAUAAAUCAGGGAGGGAAAUUUUGGAUUAGGUCUCCAAUGGUAAAGAGUCCUCCGAAAUGUAACCCCCAUUAAACCAUUUAGCACCCAUCGUAAUCUCGUUAAAACAUAACACGGGGUGGCGGGAUCAGUACGUCUACUCAGUAUUGAGUUUGCGACCACCAUGUACAAAAGAUUAAAAUGAAUGCGAUAUGAUGCUGGCUUCAAGCUGAAGGUUAUUGAUUUUGCUAAAAGAAUGAAUAAUUCUGCAGCUACUAAGAAGUUUAGUGUAAACAAGAAACAAGUGAGAGAGUGGAGAAAGGCAGAGGAAACGCUGAGGAAAAUGCCAAAAACGAAAUGUGCAAACCUUGGGAAAACAUGCCAGUGGCCAGAACUGGAAGAAAAAGUUUUAGAGUGAGUGAAUCACUAGCAAUCAUCUGCAUACAUUGUUACCCCAGAGAAAUGAUUCGAGUUCAAGCGUUGAAAUGGGCCGUUGUUGUUUAUGUUAAAGAACGCUGCUGGAUGGUCGAAGCCGGUUGCUUGAAGUAGGUUAAAGAGGUGUGGCGUCGACAUCCCGAAGGUUUCGGGAAGGAAAAGUCGCUAUUUGUCUGGGACAUGUUCAAAGCACACUGGUCAGGGGAGACAAAAGCAGCACUGAAAGCUGAAAAUAUGGACAUUGCAGUCAUCCCCAGUGGUUUGAUCUCUGUGCUCCAGCCACCAGAGGAGCCAGUAUGGGAGACUAAGUAAGCACAUCUCCACGUCCUGUUCAAUCAGCACUGGUGCGCCACAUGGUUUCUGCCACUUAAGAAAACCCAACAAAAGGAGGAAUCUCCCUGAUUGCUG
Molecule: long non-coding RNA, 1857 nt
Organism: Hypanus sabinus (Atlantic stingray)
Lineage: Eukaryota; Metazoa; Chordata; Chondrichthyes; Myliobatiformes; Dasyatidae
Exons: 3
Source: RefSeq, a predicted model, not a curated record